This is a long non-coding RNA of Brassica napus (rape), 5112 nucleotides long. RefSeq lists it as uncharacterized. Lineage: Eukaryota; Viridiplantae; Streptophyta; Magnoliopsida; Brassicales; Brassicaceae. The transcript has 4 exons. The record is from RefSeq and is a predicted model, not a curated record.
AUAAAGAGUUAAGAGACCGUCUUGUUUUGGAAGGAAACAGAUUUCGUGGGUGUGCAAUGUAAUUUGUUUUCAAGUCUUGUUUUGGUUAGUUUGUUUCGUGUUACUGUGUUAGUAUGAAGGGUAUGCUAGUCUGUAAUAGGUGUAUAGUAUCCUUGAAGCAGUCUCAAGAUCUGAGUCGUUGAAAACUGAAUGCUUGUAACACGUGGAGUAAUCUUCGGGAUUGUUUUGGUAUUGGUGGUGAUAGCGAAAGGCAGCAUAGCAUGACUCCAUUUGUGGGGAGUCAAUGCUUAUCUCUAUCGUUUUCGGUGUCUGCGACAAUUAUUUUGUAUUUUUAAUUGGAUUAGAGUAUUAGACUAUUAUUGCCAACCUACAUAAGAACUAUCGCUUUUUUUUUUUUGUCAACAGAACUAUCGCUGUUAUUUAGUUGAAUACGGGUAACUGUCGUUUUUAAUGAAAAAAUAAGAACUACCCCUCCCCCGUUAUUUCGAAAAUUCCCAGACAUCUAACCUAUACCAAAAGAGAGAUAUACUCCACUUUAAAGCUGUCCAUGUCGGAUAAAUAAAUUAGCCAAUGAGGAAGAAGUUAUUUAACACAUCAUUAUCAACUACGCUGGCCUUCUUCCCAUGGCCAAAAACGAGUCCACUUGAGUAACCUAAGUUACCUAAAGUCUGGCAAUUUCUAUUGAUUUCUCCGUACUUCGUCUUCUCCACUUCGACUUCUUGCAACCUCAAUUAUACCACGAUCCCAAUUCUUAUCAAUCAAUAGGUUUUACCGUUUCAAUCACUCAUUCAAUUCUUAUCUCUCUUCCAAGAUGGUGUAUCUCUAUCUAUAAAAAGGUGAGGAUUCAUCCCUUCAGAAUCAUCCUUUUGAACGCCUCUCUGUUUCUGCCAUUGUAGUAGGUGGAUCUUCAGCCAUUCCGUUUAGUUUGGUCUGUACGAUCGAGCUAGCAUCAACAAUCGGAGCCAUAACUACCCUCGAUUGUAUCACCGGAACCGUUCUCAUCCCCUCCUUGGAUCCACAAGUGUCCUCCGUCUUCCGUUGGAUCUGGCGAUUGCUCCAGGAAUGAAGCAAACGAAUGAGACGGUGAAAAGAAUAAGCUGAGGAAAAACUCAGGCUUUUGGAGAAGGAUAGAGAACAAACCGCGAUUGAAAGGAUUUCAGAUACGGGAAUUAAGAUGUGCACGAUAAUGGCGAAGACGGUGGGAUGUGAAAGUCGUAGGGGGUUUGUUGGAUAGAGAGUGUGUGAGGCCUGAUGUGAUAUUAGCUGAGGGAGAAGAAGACAGUGAUGAUGAGGAUGAUGAUACUGUGUUAUUGCAAUGGGAUAAGAACGAGGACGUUUGAUAUCAGCCGAAGUUAUCAGCAUUUUCUAUAAACGAUUUUGCUAUUGAAGCAGAAGGCCAAGAGCUGGAGCUGGAUCUCUCAAGCUUAGGAGCUGUGAAUACUGUCUUUGCAGCUUUGUUUAGCAAACUUGGUGUGCCGAUGAAAAUAUUUGUAUCUGCAACUAUUUUGGAGGAGGCUCUUAAUGGCAGAGUUUCUGUUGAUCCUCUUCUACUUGGACAAACUGUAACUAAAAAGGUUGAAAAGCAAUGUGCACACUUUUAUGCUGUCACAAUAACAGAAGUGGAAAUAAUUUCAGGAUUGGUCUGCAGAGUAGAAUCAUGUAGCAAAAGUAAAUUCAAGGUCAGCUCGCCAGAGUCUCUUCCCAUCGCCUAAGUAUUAACAACUAACGUGUGUGUGCGUCUGCUUGUGCAGUUACUGUACUUUGAUCAAAAAGCUAAUGGCGGAUUGAGCUUAGCCCUGCAGGUAUUGUUUUCUUUCAUAUAACAAUGGAAAACCAAUGUGGUAUUACAUGUAACAAUAAAUUCUGAAUCACUGGUGGAUAAAAAUUAUUGUUAUUUUAACACAAAAUUUUGACACAAAUUAUAAAAAUAAACUUAAUUUUAUUAACAAUUAAACCAAAUAUUUUAAACAAUUACAUCAUAUAUAUUUCAUAAAUAUGUUUUUAACCAUGAGUACAUUUUCAACCAAAACUAUUUGUCAAUUUUAAAAUCAUAAAUUAAAAUUUCAAGGAAUUUUCUAACGAUAGAAAAAAAAAACAAUGGUAAAGUAGAAGCUAACUUGAAUCCCUAAACGGAGCUAAGGAGGCUGAAAUAGAUGUUUGAGACAUGAAAGAAGAAUCAUGGAAAGAGACUAAGGGAAACGAAAAUGAUAUUGAUUAUUGAGCAAAGUGAAGAAACUUUUGGAGAGGGUGUAGCGUGAGUGGUGGAGGAGGUUAAGGAGCACCAGAUAUUGAUGGUCUGCUUCUUUUCUUGAGACGCACGUCUCUUUUUAACACGUUUGGUGUUAAUAAGGUUUUGGUUCUGGUUUACAAAUGAGUCAUAUUUCUCAUGUCCAUCCAAAUCUACCGGCAAAUUCUGUUAAUAUUUUAUAUUAAACAUGUAUUUUAAUAUCGAUUUGUCAAAGGUUCAAAAGUUAUGUGGACAAGCCAGUGUUGCGUACUGUUCUUUUUUUCAUUAUUUAGAGAAAAAGGUAAUGGAUCCUGAAAUCAGAAAACAUAACUUUAAGACUUUUCAAACAUCAUAUUUAGAAAUUCAAUUUCAUAUUGUUUUUUAGAAAAAAAACUUUAGAAUAUAAGCUUACAUAAAAUUAUAGAAUUAAACAUUUAUAACACUGCAUGCAAUGUUCUUAACAUAAAUUCUUUGACAUACAAAUAAAAUAAUAGACAAACAAAAUAAAUGAAUAUAUAAAUAUAGAUUUGUAAUAAAUAAAUAUCAACACAUCUUUUUUGAAUUGUUAUGAUUUGUCAUUUACCAAAAUUGCAAAACCUUCCAAAUUCUAUUUAAAAUAACUAUUUUCAAAAUUUGCUCAAAUAAAAUGAUAUGUGUUCGUAUAUUAUAUUUUUUACCUUUAACAUAUAGUCUCUUUGUUUAAUAUUAGAUGAUGUUUUACAUCGGUGAACAUAUAUUAAAAAAUCUACUAUUUUAGAAAGUAAUAUUAAAAUAUAAUUUAGAUAUAUUUCACCAAUUAAAAAUGUAAAUAUUAAAAUUAUAAUUAGUUACACCAUUUUUAGUAAUGUAAAGUUAUUUAGAUACAUGAAAACAUCGUCUGAUGUUAAAUAACAAAAACAUAUAUAAAACAUCAUGAUUAGUAAAUCACCUGAAACGAAAGGAACAGUAAAGUUGUGUCAAAAUAAUUUUUAACUCAACUGAAAAUGAUUUAUAGCCAUUGUGUUAGAAGUCUCUAUUAUGAGUGGCUGAUGAGAUAUAUUCCAAACCUUACGGUAUUCAAGAAAAAAGGAAAAUGAAGCAGUCAUAAGUACUUACAAAAGUCAACCCAAAACAAUCACACCUUUUUAAUUUAUAAAAUAGUUAAGUUGUAAAUAUUAUUUGUUCAUAACAAAACAUAUAUAAAGAAUGUGAUUGGUUAAUCAAUAGAGUAAAAAGGUGGAAAAGAAAAAUGAAAAUAGGAUGAAACAAAACAAUACCGUUGGCGUUAACUUUUCCACUUCAUCCAAGGUGAGAUAAAUUUUACUCUACUUUAUUUUUAUUUUUAGAGUAAACAUGAAGAAUGAGAGUAAACCAGCUGAAGCUGAAAAGAUUUUUCACCUUUUUCACUUUAUUCUAAUUAUACCAUACAGUCAGACUCAAAAUCUCAUAAUAAUAAGUUUAAAAUUUACAGAAAAUUAUUCAUACAUAAACAGCUAAUUUGGUUAGUUGUACAAAAAAAACUUUCUAAAUGCCUAAUAAUGAUUAAAUCUGCCUGUGUUUCAAAAAAAAAGAAGAUUAAAUCUACCUUCAUCUUUAAUAUUUCAACAUUAAUCUAAGAUAGCUAAUAGCACUACUAAUUUUUGUGAACAUUAUUUAUAACAAAACUAAAUUGAGGUUUCUGUUUAUGCGUCUAUGGAAAAACUUAAAACUGAAAAAUACAAAGGGAUAGUUAUAAAGAAUGAAUUGUUAGGAAAUAUUUACAUGCAUUAUAAUUUUAAAUAUAUUUUCCAAUAUAUUUUUUCAUUUUAUUAUACACCUAUUUCAUUUUAAAUCAUUAAGAGUAUAACUAUCUUACACUGUCAAGUAAUUAAAUUUUAUUUAGAAUUAGCAUGAACAAAACACUCUAAUAACAUGAUCAUGCUGGAUUCUCAACCCAAUUUUAAUUUUUAUGUUAAAAACAAACAACAAUUUCACUUUAAAAAAGAAAACAACAAUUUCAUCUAAAACAGUUUUUUUUGCAUUUCCACUAUCAUAUAGCUAUUUAUAUGGGACGAAGAAGUGAAAGUUUUAGAUAAUUAUAAAGCAUACAAAUUUAAAUACAAAAAUAUUAAAUUAUCAUGUAUGAUAUUUUAAUUUAUUGAAAAAAAGAUAUAUUGUUUGCUUUAAUACCAACAACACGAUUAUACUUCAACAGUUCCAAUUACAUUAUAGAGAAAUUGCUUAUAAUACCACAAAUUAGAUAUAAUUUUCCAAAAAUGCAUUUAAUCAAAACUAUCCUAACAUUUGAGUUUAAGAUUUAAUGAAAAAAUUUUGGGGUUUAUUAUUUAAAGGUUGUAAUUGGGUAAACGUCCAUAAAUAAUUCUUACAUAUUUAAAAAUGAUUAUGAGGGUUAGUUUAGGUUUCUAUUACAAAUUUAAGGUAUUUAUGGAAAAUUAUUCUUUAAAGAUAUUUUAAAAUAGUAUCAAUUAUAUGGUAAAAUUAGAAUUUCCCCUUAACAUUAUUAGAAGAACCAGGAAAAGUUUGCAAAAUUAAACUAAUGUACGAAACACAGAGCUCACCAUGUUAAAGAAAUCGCAAUUAAAAAAUACCCCAAGCUACUUUAUUAUUAUGUUAGAGAUACUAUAGUAUUUCUGAUCAAAUAUUAUAUAAAACUACUUUCAAAUAUAAUAUAAAUUAAAAUGGUGAAAAUUAUUGUAUCUGAGAAAAGAUCUAGUAUAUACAAAUGACUAAAUAAAGAGCACUUUCAGGCUAUGUUUUACUCUCUAUCCUUGUUAAUGACGUUUAUAAUAGUUAAGUUGCGCGGAUGUUUGUUUUCAGUUUUCUAUACAUAAAUUAUUGUUUUAGAACAUAAGUGGUAUAUAUUUUUAACGUUAAUCAUAUACUUAAAUAUUUAUAUAACUAUUUCA